Molecule: long non-coding RNA, 229 nt
Filed under: Homo sapiens (human)
Lineage: Eukaryota; Metazoa; Chordata; Mammalia; Primates; Hominidae
Description: non-protein coding lnc-KIF18A-7:1
Source: RNAcentral
UAGGCUGCCAGCACCUCUUUCAGCUUUCAGGAUGAAGAUCUGGUCCUUGGAGUUCAAUUGAUCUGGAUUAGAAUCCUGGUCCUGCUACUCAUACUGAGUAAGACUUUUAACCUAUUAGAACCUCAAUUUUUAACCUGUGAAAUGAAAGUAACAAUUCUUAACUCACAGAAUGGUUUGGAUAAUUAUUGGUGCACACAAUUGUAAAACAGAAAUACAAUGCCUGGAACAU